CCUACGGGACGCAGCAGUGGGGAAUAUUGCACAAUGGGCGCAAGCCUGAUGCUGCCAUGCCGCGUGUGUGAAGAAGGCCUUCGGGUUGUAAAGCACUUUCAGCGAGGAGGAAGGUGGUGAGCUUAAUACGCUCAUCAAUUGACGUUACUCGCAGAAGAAGCACCGGCUAACUCCGUGCCAGCAGCCGCGGUAAUACGGAGGGUGCAAGCGUUAAUCGGAAUUACUGGGCGUAAAGCGCACGCAGGCGGUUUGUUAAGUCAGAUGUGAAAUCCCCGGGCUCAAUCUGGGAACUGCAUUUGAAACUGGCAAGCUGGAGUCUCGUAGAGGGGGGUAGAAUUCCAGGUGUAGCGGUGAAAUGCGUAGAGAUCUGGAGGAAUACCGAUGGCGAAGGCGGCCCCCUGGACGAAGACUGACGCUCAGGUGCGAAAGCGUGGUGAGCAAACAGGAUUAGAUACCCGUGUAGUC
This 465-nucleotide ribosomal RNA is filed under the name uncultured bacterium. RNAcentral describes it as "bacterial SSU rRNA". It matches the Rfam family "Bacterial small subunit ribosomal RNA", at positions 338 to 795 of the family's 1533-position model. The record is from RNAcentral.